This 509-nucleotide ribosomal RNA is filed under the name Microphotina vitripennis. Its description in RNAcentral is "partial 16S ribosomal RNA". It matches the Rfam family "Bacterial large subunit ribosomal RNA", at positions 1832 to 2600 of the family's 2925-position model. The record is from RNAcentral. Lineage: Eukaryota; Metazoa; Arthropoda; Insecta; Mantodea; Mantidae.
GGUUUCUUGAUAGAUAUUGGAAAUUUAACCUGCCCACUGAUGAGUUAAAGGGCCGCAGUAUUUUGACUGUGCAAAGGUAGCAUAAUCAUUAGUCUUUUAAUUGGAGGCUGGAAUGAAUGGUUGGACGAGGUAAAAGCUGUCUUUUAUUAAAAGGUUGAAUUUAUAUUUUGAGUAAAAAGACUUAAAUAUAAUUAAGGGACGAGAAGACCCUAUAGAGUUUAAUAAAAUAUAUAUUUGAUUUGGUUUAGGAAGAAUUUAUAGUUAAUAUAGUAUUUAUUUGGUUGGGGUGACUAAAAGAUAUGAAAAACUCUUUUAAAUAUUGAAUAUAAAUUAGUAGAAGUUUGAUCCAUGAAUGAUGAAAAGAAGAAUAAAUUACCUUAGGGAUAACAGCAUAAUCUUCUUUGAUAGUUCUUAUUGAGAAGAAGGAUUAUGACCUCGAUGUUGGAUUAAGAUUAGCUUUGGGUGAAGUAACCUAGAUGUUAGGUCUGUUCGACCUUUAAAUUCUUACA